ACUCCUACGGGAGGCAGCAGUGGGGAAUAUUGCACAAUGGGGGAAACCCUGAUGCAGCCAUGCCGCGUGUGUGAAGAAGGCCUUGGGUUGUAAAGCACUUUCAGUAGGGAGGAAGGUAGUGUAGUUAACACCUGCAUUAUUUGACGUUACCUACAGAAGAAGCACCGGCUAACUCCGUGCCAGCAGCCGCGGUAAGUACGGAGGGUGCGAGCGUUAAUCGGAAUUACUGGGCGUAAAGCGCAUGCAGGCGGCCUGUUAAGUCAGAUGUGAAAGCCCGGGGCUUAACCUCGGAAUUGCAUUUGAAACUGGCAGGCUAGAGUCUUGUAGAGGGGUUAGAAUUUCAGGUGUAGCGGUGAAAUGCGUAGAGAUCUGAAGG
Molecule: ribosomal RNA, 376 nt
Filed under: uncultured bacterium
Lineage: Bacteria
Description: bacterial SSU rRNA
Rfam family: Bacterial small subunit ribosomal RNA
Source: RNAcentral